UACGGAGGGUGCAAGCAUUAAUCGGAUUUAUUGGGCGUAAAGGACGCGUAGGCGGUGCGAUAAGUCGGGUGUGAAAUCCCGGGGCUCAACCCCGGAACAGCACUUGAAACUGUCGCUCUAGAGGGUAGGCGGAGAAAACGGAAUUCCACAAGUAGCGGUGAAAUGCGUAGAUAUGUGGAAGAACACCUGUGGCGAAAGCGGUUUUCUAGCUUAUUCCUGACGCUGAGGCGUGAAAGCAAGGGGAGCAAACAGG
RNAcentral lists this ribosomal RNA (253 nucleotides) under uncultured bacterium. Its description in RNAcentral is "partial 16S ribosomal RNA". It matches the Rfam family "Bacterial small subunit ribosomal RNA", at positions 524 to 776 of the family's 1533-position model. The record is from RNAcentral.